UACGGAGGGUGCUAGCGUUGUUCGGAAUUACUGGGCGUAAAGCGCACGUAGGCGGCUUUGUAAGUUAGGGGUGAAAGCCUGGAGCUCAACUUCAGAAUUGCCCUUAAGACUGCAUCGCUUGAAUCCAGGAGAGGUGAGUGGAAUUCCGAGUGUAGAGGUGAAAUUCGUAGAUAUUGGGAAGAACACCGAUGGCGAAGGCAGCCAUCUGGACCGACACUGACGCUGAGGCGCGAAAGCGUGGGGAGCAAACAGG
RNAcentral lists this ribosomal RNA (253 nucleotides) under uncultured bacterium. RNAcentral describes it as "partial 16S ribosomal RNA". It matches the Rfam family "Bacterial small subunit ribosomal RNA", at positions 524 to 776 of the family's 1533-position model. The record is from RNAcentral.